GACGAACGCUUGCGGCGUGCUUAACACAUGCAAGUCGAACGGAAAGGCCCUGCUUUUGUGGGGUGCUCGAGUGGCGAACGGGUGAGUAACACGUGAGUAACCUGCCCUUGACUUUGGGAUAACUUCAGGAAACUGGGGCUAAUACCGGAUAGGAGCUCCUGCUGCAUGGUGGGGGUUGGAAAGUUUCGGCGGUUGGGGAUGGACUCGCGGCUUAUCAGCUUGUUGGUGGGGUAGUGGCUUACCAAGGCUUUGACGGGUAGCCGGCCUGAGAGGGUGACCGGCCACAUUGGGACUGAGAUACGGCCCAGACUCCUACGGGAGGCAGCAGUGGGGAAUAUUGCACAAUGGGCGGAAGCCUGAUGCAGCAACGCCGCGUGCGGGAUGACGGCCUUCGGGUUGUAAACCGCUUUCGCCUGUGACGAAGCGUGAGUGACGGUAAUGGGUAAAGAAGCACCGGCUAACUACGUGCCAGCAGCCGCGGUGAUACGUAGGGUGCGAGCGUUGUCCGGAUUUAUUGGGCGUAAAGGGCUCGUAGGUGGUUGAUCGCGUCGGAAGUGUAAUCUUGGGGCUUAACCCUGAGCGUGCUUUCGAUACGGGUUGACUUGAGGAAGGUAGGGGAGAAUGGAAUUCCUGGUGGAGCGGUGGAAUGCGCAGAUAUCAGGAGGAACACCAGUGGCGAAGGCGGUUCUCUGGGCCUUUCCUGACGCUGAGGAGCGAAAGCGUGGGGAGCGAACAGGCUUAGAUACCCUGGUAGUCCACGCUGUAAACGGUGGGUACUAGGUGUGGGGUCCAUUCCACGGGUUCCGUGCCGUAGCUAACGCUUUAAGUACCCCGCCUGGGGAGUACGGCCGCAAGGCUAAAACUCAAAGGAGUUGACGGGGCCCCGCACAAGCGGCGGAGCAUGCGGAUUAAUUCGAUGCAACGCGUAGAACCUUACCUGGGUUUGACAUGGAUCGGGAGUGCUCAGAGAUGGGUGUGCCUCUUUUGGGGUCGGUUCACAGGUGGUGCAUGCCUGUCGUCAGCUCGUGUCGUGAGAUGUUGGGUUAAGUCCCGCAACGAGCGCAACCCUUGUUCACUGUUGCCAGCACGUUAUGGUGGGGACUCAGUGGAGACCGCCGGGGUCAACUCGGAGGAAGGUGGGGAUGACGUCAAGUCCUCAUGCCCCUUAUGUCCAGGGCUUCACGCAUGCUACAAUGGCUGGUACAGAGAGUGGCGAGCCUGUGAGGGUGAGCGAAUCUCGGAAAGCCGGUCUCAGUUCGGAUUGGGGUCUGCAACUCGACCUCAUGAAGUCGGAGUCGCUAGUAAUCGCAGAUCAGCAACGCUGCGGUGAAUACGUUCCCGGG
This 1343-nucleotide ribosomal RNA is filed under the name uncultured bacterium. Its description in RNAcentral is "16S ribosomal RNA". It matches the Rfam family "Bacterial small subunit ribosomal RNA", at positions 28 to 1378 of the family's 1533-position model. The record is from RNAcentral.